This 295-nucleotide signal recognition particle RNA is filed under the name Phascolarctos cinereus (koala). RNAcentral describes it as "Metazoan signal recognition particle RNA (ENSPCIG00000019449.2)". It matches the Rfam family "Metazoan signal recognition particle RNA". Rfam says of the family: The signal recognition particle (SRP) is a universally conserved ribonucleoprotein. It is involved in the co-translational targeting of proteins to membranes. The record is from RNAcentral. Lineage: Eukaryota; Metazoa; Chordata; Mammalia; Diprotodontia; Phascolarctidae.
GCAUGGUAACACAUACCUGUAUUUCCAGCUACCAAAGAUGCUAAAGCUGGAGCAUCUCUUGAGCUCAGGAGUUCUAAGCUACAGGAGGCUAUGCCAGCUGAGUGUCUGCCCUAAGAAUGACUUUAAUAUGCUGAGCCCCCAGGAUCAAGGGGACACCAGAUUGCCUCAGGAGGAACAAACCAGCCCAGGUCAGAAAGUAGAACAGCUAAAAGGACCUAUGCCAAUGAAAGGGGGAUAGGGCCCGCGAAUAGCCCCUGUACUUUUACUCUGGGCAAGAUAGGGAGAUUCAGUCUUU